This is a long non-coding RNA of Columba livia (rock pigeon), 575 nucleotides long. RefSeq lists it as uncharacterized. The transcript is spliced from 3 exons. The record is from RefSeq and is a predicted model, not a curated record. NCBI's taxonomy places the organism in Eukaryota, Metazoa, Chordata, Aves, Columbiformes, Columbidae.
GUCUGAGUCAAUGGUAGUUAUUUCAAAGACAGCGUAUUUCUGAAACUUUUCUAAAAGUGGAUGCCUGGGUUAGGAGUGUGUUUCUAUUAGCAACUCCACUGAAAGAAAAGGUAUAAUACAAUAUUACUCUUUGGACAAGCCACAUCACAGAAACAAGAGUCCUCCCUGAGAGAGCUUUGGACAGAAAGUUCACUUUGUGAUACUUUUGAGAGUCCAGCCAGGGAACUUUAAUGUUUAGGAAAAAGGCAUUGUUGGUUGUGUUUCUCAGAACUGGUUUUCUGCUUCAGCUGUUUUUUCAGCAUAAAAAUCCUGCAGAGGUUACAGCAACAGUGCAGAACAACUGUGUCCUUGGAGGAUGAGCUUGGUGUGCACCAGAGGUACCUGUAUGAUGUGUGAAAUCUGCAAAGCUUGGAGCAAUUGUGUGUGAUAUGAGUGUCAACGGAAAAAUACAGAAAGGUAGAUGAUAGAGAGCAGGUUCCAUGAUGUCUGUCAGGCUGCCAGUUCUUGCUCCGCCUUUUUGCCUCUUCAAUCCAUCCUCAUCCCUGGAAAUGUGCUCCUGUCAAAGGGGAGAGGUA